RNAcentral lists this ribosomal RNA (609 nucleotides) under Glomus sp. ZJ. RNAcentral describes it as "SSU rRNA". It matches the Rfam family "Eukaryotic small subunit ribosomal RNA", at positions 636 to 1255 of the family's 1831-position model. Lineage: Eukaryota; Fungi; Glomeromycota; Glomeromycetes; Glomerales; Glomeraceae. The record is from RNAcentral.
GGAUCAAUAUGUCGGUCGUGCUUCGGUACGUACUGGUAUCAUUGGUUUCUCCUUUCUGACGAGCCAUGAUGUCAUUAAUUUGGUGUUAUGGGGAGUUAGGACUGUUACUUUGAAAAAAUUAGAGUGUUUAAAGCAGGCUUUAGCUUGAAUACAUUAGCAUGGAAUAAUGAAAUAGGACGUUCGAACCUAUUUUGUUGGUUUCUAGGAUCAACGUAAUGAUUAAUAGGGAUAGUUGGGGGCAUUAGUAUUCAAUUGUCAGAGGUGAAAUUCUUGGAUUUAUUGAAGACUAACUACUGCGAAAGCAUUUGCCAAGGAUGUUUUCAUUAAUCAAGAACGAAAGUUAGGGAAUCGAAGACGAUCAGAUACCGUCGUAGUCUUAACCAUAAACUAUGCCGACUAGGGAUCGGAUGAUGUUAAUUUUUUAAUGACUCAUUCGGCGCCUUACGGGAAACCAAAGUGUUUGGGUUCCGGGGGGAGUAUGGUCGCAAGGCUGAAACUUAAAGGAAUUGACGGAAGGGCACCACCAGGGGUGGAGCCUGCGGCUUAAUUUGACUCAACACGGGGAAACUCACCAGGUCCAGACAUAGUAAGGAUUGACAGAUUGAGAGC